This 611-nucleotide ribosomal RNA is filed under the name uncultured bacterium. Its description in RNAcentral is "bacterial SSU rRNA". The stretch from base 1 to 521 matches the Rfam family "Bacterial small subunit ribosomal RNA", at positions 338 to 873 of the family's 1533-position model. The record is from RNAcentral.
CCUACGGGAGGCAGCAGUGGGGAAUAUUGGGCAAUGGAGGAAACUCUGACCCAGCGACGCCGCGUGCGGGAUGAAGGCCUUCGGGUUGUAAACCGCUUUCAGCAGGGAAGAAGCGAAAGUGACGGUACCUGCAGAAGAAGCACCGGCUAACUAUGUGCCAGCAGCCGCGGUAAUACAUAGGGUGCAAGCGUUGUCCGGAAUUAUUGGGCGUAAAGAGCUCGUAGGUGGUUCGUCACGUCGGAUGUGAAAAUCUGGGGCUUAACCCCAGACCUGCAUUCGAUACGGGCGAGCUUGAGUAUGGUAGGGGAGUCUGGAAUUCCUGGUGUAGCGGUGGAAUGCGCAGAUAUCAGGAGGAACACCAAUGGCGAAGGCAGGACUCUGGGCCAUUACUGACACUGAGGAGCGAAAGCGUGGGGAGCGAACAGGAUUAGAUACCCUGGUAGUCCACGCCGUAAACGGUGGGCACUAGUUGUGGGGACCUUCCACGGUCUCUGCGACGCAGCUACGCAUAAGUGCCCGCCGUCGGGAGGUACGAGUCGCGAAGAAUUAAACUACAAAUAGAAGUUAGACGGCGUGAGACGUGCCGACGGACGACGACGAGGGAGGUUAGG